AUACGGAGGAUGCAAGCGUUAUCCGGAUUUAUUGGGUUUAAAGGGUGCGUAGGCGGUUUGCUAAGCGGGAGGUGAAAUGCCGGCGCCCAACGUCGGAAGUGCCUCCCGAACUGGUGGACUUGAAUGACUCUGCCGUGGGAGGAAUGUGUAGUGUAGCGGUGAAAUGCUUAGAGAUUACACAGAACACCGAUUGCGAAGGCAUCUCACGAAGGGUUGAUUGACGCUGAGGCACGAAAGCGUGGGGAUCAAACAGGAUUAGAUACCCUGGUAGUCCACGCAGUAAACGAUGAUGGCUAACCGCUGGGCUUAUCAGUUCAGUGGCCAAGCGAAAGCGAUAAGCCAUCCACCUGGGGAGUACGACCGCAAGGUUGAAACUCAAAGGAAUUGACGGGG
RNAcentral lists this ribosomal RNA (393 nucleotides) under uncultured bacterium. Its description in RNAcentral is "partial 16S ribosomal RNA". It matches the Rfam family "Bacterial small subunit ribosomal RNA", at positions 523 to 918 of the family's 1533-position model. The record is from RNAcentral.